RNAcentral lists this long non-coding RNA (1575 nucleotides) under Nicotiana benthamiana. RNAcentral describes it as "long non-coding RNA (NBEN_LNC025161)". The record is from RNAcentral. Lineage: Eukaryota; Viridiplantae; Streptophyta; Magnoliopsida; Solanales; Solanaceae.
AAGAAUAUCAAUUUUAGCAUUGCUUAGUGAAGAAUCAAGCUAGGAUUUCUAACUAGUUUGGUUUCAUUUUUAUUCCGAGCUUCAUUAGUGGUCGGAGUUGGAGCUUUCUAAUCCCUAUACGGCUGACAAAAGUCCUCGUUUGGUUUGCUUCUCAAAGUAAGGUCAGUGAUCUUCGAUCCUUCUUUUCCUUUGACUACUUAAUUGAAAUAUUGCAUACUCUCUUAUCUUCUGUUAAUUAGACUUGCUCAUGAUGUGUUAUUAUUGGUUAUAGUUGGUUAUUUCUGUUCAUAAUGUAAUAUUAUCAGUUCAUAAUUGACAUUAUGUUCGGGUAGUAUUUCCUUAGUAACCAGAAAUUAAAGUAAUACUAGUCAACUACUUUAUAAUCUCAAUGAAUAUAUAAUGUGUGAUUGGCAAUGAACCUUACUAGUUAUGUGCAUCUAUUUUGACCUUAAACAUCACUGAUGACUUUUGUUAUGGCUCUCAUUCUUACUCUGCUAGUCUUUAGUUAGUGUUACUUGUUGACUUACAGACUUACCCUAUGUACUUAAGGUUAUUCACCUGAUAAACUAAAGUAGAAAAUGGGAUAUGAACCUUUAAUGAUGACAAACAAGGUUGUCAUCUUAGUCUGGGUAUAUCAGCGAGUCAAUUCCUUUCUUCUAAUGUGCCUCUGUGGUUCUUUAACUCUUGAAAGAUCGUUGUAAUGAUUUUCUGUCAAUAUUCAUGAAUGUGUGAUCAUAUCUAAAAUUCUAUUGUUGUUCUCUUCCCUUAAUUGUACAUAUAAUUGGUUUCUUUUAGUAAUCUUCUGCAUAUUGGUACUUCUUGACAGUGAACUACACACGUGGGCUUAGAUUGUGAUCUCCCUGGUGUUACAUGUUAUCAUAUGUUCAUAGUAACAUUCUGUAUAGUUUCUAUUAGAAGUGUACAUGUCUAAAUCUGUGUAUUGUUGUUACACUUGUAUUGAAACAUACAAUGAAUGCCUCAUUGGCAUUUAAACUUAUAGGGAAGAGUCAUUCUGAAUGGUUAGUGGUAUUUAGGAGUGACAUUUAGUUUGUGGUUGAGACACUCUUCCUGACACAAGCACUCUUCGGGUUGGACUUUGAAAUGACAGGAAACCAAAGGAUGUCUUGGCCAUGAAUAGAAUUUUACAUAAAGCCCUUAGUCAUUGACACUUUUAAUCUCUUUAGGGUUAGUGUCUAAUGAAGAAAAGGGCUUCAUUAUAAUUUUAUUUACUCUAUUUGAUCUUACACAGUUUAUUUGCGCUCUUAAUCGCAAGCAUUUGUUAUCGUGUCAUUUGGGCCUUAUGUUGAUCUUAUCUGCAUUUAAUAUGUUGGGCUUUGUCACUAAUUUCUGCUUUUCUCUUUUGAGCAUGUAAUACAACUAGGCCUGCCCUUGAGUUCGAAGUCAUGGUAGCUGCUGCCGUUUGUUUGUUGUUAGCUGGGCCUAACCUUCAUCAGGCCCAAACCAACGACCCUUAUUCCCUUCUUUAUCCUUUUUUAUCAUGUUGUUAUUAGGGAUUUUUUCUUAUCUAUACAAUAUAUGAAACCUUAUUACCAAAAAUGUACAUAAUUCUUAAAU